This 506-nucleotide ribosomal RNA is filed under the name uncultured bacterium. RNAcentral describes it as "partial 16S ribosomal RNA". It matches the Rfam family "Bacterial small subunit ribosomal RNA", at positions 30 to 523 of the family's 1533-position model. The record is from RNAcentral.
AUUGAACGCUGGCGGCAGGCCUAACACAUGCAAGUCGAACGGUAACAGAAGGAAGCUUGCUUCCUUGCUGACGAGUGGCGGACGGGUGAGUAAUGUCUGGGGAUCUGCCUGAUGGAGGGGGAUAACCACUGGAAACGGUGGCUAAUACCGCAUAACGUCGCAAGACCAAAGUGGGGGACCUUCGGGCCUCAUGCCAUCAGAUGAACCCAGACGGGAUUAGCCAGUUGGUGAGGUAACGGCUCACCAAAGCGACGAUCCCUAGCUGGUCUGAGAGGAUGACCAGCCACACUGGAACUGAGACACGGUCCAGACUCCUGCGGGAGGCAGCAGUGGGGAAUAUUGCACAAUGGGCGCAAGCCUGAUGCAGCCAUGCCGCGUGUAUGAAGAAGGCCUUAGGGUUGUAAAGUACUUUCAGCGGGGAGGAAGGUGUUGAGGUUAAUAACCUCAGCAAUUGACGUUACCCGCAGAAGAAGCACCGGCUAACUCCGUGCCAGCCGCCGCGGUAA